Molecule: ribosomal RNA, 248 nt
Filed under: uncultured bacterium
Lineage: Bacteria
Description: partial 16S ribosomal RNA
Rfam family: Bacterial small subunit ribosomal RNA
Source: RNAcentral
GUCCAUGCCGUAAACGAUGAGUGUUAAAUAUUGGAAAAUUUUUCAGUGUAUGAGCUAACGCGUUAAACACUCCGCCUGGGGAGUACGAUCGCAAGAUUGAAACUUAAAGGAAUUGACGGGAGCUAGCACAAACGGUGGAGCAUGUGGUUUAAUGCGAUAACACGCGCAAAACCUUACCAGUUCUUGACAUAUAAUAUAUUUUAAAGUUAUUUUAAAAUUUAGUUAUACAGGUGUUGCAUGGCUGCCGU